Molecule: ribosomal RNA, 408 nt
Filed under: bacterium enrichment culture clone ALO1_GLFRUDD03FYSYY
Lineage: Bacteria
Description: bacterial SSU rRNA
Rfam family: Bacterial small subunit ribosomal RNA
Source: RNAcentral
GAGUUUGAUCUUGGCUCAGAUUGAACGCUGGCGGCAUGCCUUACACAUGCAAGUCGAACGGCAGCACGGGAGCUUGCUCCUGGUGGCGAGUGGCGAACGGGUGAGUAAUGCAUCGGAACGUAUCCUGGAGUGGGGGAUAACGUAGCGAAAGUUACGCUAAUACCGCAUAUUCUGUGAGCAGGAAAGCGGGGGACCUUCGGGCCUCGCGCUCUUGGAGCGGCCGAUGUCGGAUUAGCUAGUUGGUGAGGUAAAGGCUCACCAAGGCGACGAUCCGUAGCAGGUCUGAGAGGAUGAUCUGCCACACUGGAACUGAGACACGGUCCAGACUCCUACGGGAGGCAGCAGUGGGGAAUUUUGGACAAUGGGGGCAACCCUGAUCCAGCCAUGCCGCGUGAGUGAAGAAGGGCC